GCCUCCGUGGCCCAACUGGACACGGCAGCCGGCUUCUACCCGGCAGACUCCGGGUUCGAGUCCCGGCGGGGGCA
RNAcentral lists this transfer RNA (74 nucleotides) under Curtobacterium sp. MCBD17_040. It matches the Rfam family "tRNA". Rfam says of the family: Transfer RNA (tRNA) molecules are approximately 80 nucleotides in length. Their secondary structure includes four short double-helical elements and three loops (D, anti-codon, and T loops). Further hydrogen bonds mediate the characteristic L-shaped molecular structure. tRNAs have two regions of fundamental functional importance: the anti-codon, which is responsible for specific mRNA codon recognition, and the 3' end, to which the tRNAs corresponding amino acid is attached (by aminoacyl-tRNA synthetases). tRNAs cope with the degeneracy of the genetic code in two manners: having more than one tRNA (with a specific anti-codon) for a particular amino acid; and 'wobble' base-pairing, i.e. permitting non-standard base-pairing at the 3rd anti-codon position. The record is from Rfam by way of RNAcentral. Lineage: Bacteria; Bacillati; Actinomycetota; Actinomycetes; Micrococcales; Microbacteriaceae.